Molecule: ribosomal RNA, 235 nt
Filed under: uncultured bacterium
Lineage: Bacteria
Description: partial 16S ribosomal RNA
Rfam family: Bacterial small subunit ribosomal RNA
Source: RNAcentral
UGAGCAAUCUGCCCCUCUCUUCGGAAUAAGCGUUGGAAACGACGUCUAAUGCCGAAUACGACCUCCUUUCGCAUGAUCGGAGGUGGAAAGCUCCGGCGGAGAAGGAUGAGCUCGCGGCCUAUCAGCUAGUUGGCGUGGGUAAUGGCCACCAAGGCGACGACGGGUAGCCGGCCUGAGAGGGUGACCGGCCACACGUGGGACUGAGACACGGCCCAGACUCCCGUACGGGAGGNAG